This is a long non-coding RNA of Mercenaria mercenaria, 463 nucleotides long. RefSeq lists it as uncharacterized. The record is from RefSeq and is a predicted model, not a curated record. The transcript is spliced from 3 exons. NCBI's taxonomy places the organism in Eukaryota, Metazoa, Mollusca, Bivalvia, Venerida, Veneridae.
UAAAACGAGCGCAUCACUACAGUUCCGGUUCGAGCGUCUGCAAAAACGAUGGAUUGCAGAAGCCACACAGAUAGAGUUUAGCCUGCGACCACCUACAUGUCGGAAUAGAUCCACGUCCGAAACGGUCAUAGAAUUUGAAGAAGUAUCCAAAAAAUAUGUUUGAAAGGUACUUCCAUUUUCAAAAACUAUUAGGGGUAGCCAUGAAAAAUCUUCAUCUACAAAAGAAUGCCACAGCGGCCGAAUAAAGGAAGUGACCUUUGAAGAGUACAUAUAUCAAAGAGAGAACUCCAGAAACAUGGCUUUGGAAACGCUGAAAAAUGACGACGGGUUCCCAAAUACUUUGGCAAUAUUAAAGUACACGGUAUUUAAUUUUCUUACGGGCACACUACUUGGGAGACCAGCAUCUAUAUAUAGAAAUUAUCGGGAAUUGGGAGUCAGUUGUACACAACUCGUACAGCAAAAA